Molecule: ribosomal RNA, 3029 nt
Filed under: Salmonella enterica subsp. enterica serovar Agona
Lineage: Bacteria; Pseudomonadati; Pseudomonadota; Gammaproteobacteria; Enterobacterales; Enterobacteriaceae
Description: 23S ribosomal RNA
Rfam family: Bacterial large subunit ribosomal RNA
Source: RNAcentral
GGGUUGUGAGGUUAAGCGACUAAGCGUACACGGUGGAUGCCCUGGCAGUCAGAGGCGAUGAAGGGCGUGCUAAUCUGCGAUAAGCGCCGGUAAGGUGAUAUGAACCGUUAUAACCGGCGAUACCCGAAUGGGGAAACCCAGUGUGACUCGUCACACUAUCAUUAACUGAAUCCAUAGGUUAAUGAGGCGAACCGGGGGAACUGAAACAUCUAAGUACCCCGAGGAAAAGAAAUCAACCGAGAUUCCCCCAGUAGCGGCGAGCGAACGGGGAGGAGCCCAGAGCCUGAAUCAGCAUGUGUGUUAGUGGAAGCGUCUGGAAAGGCGCGCGAUACAGGGUGACAGCCCCGUACACAAAAGCGCAUGUGCUGUGAGCUCGAUGAGUAGGGCGGGACACGUGGUAUCCUGUCUGAAUAUGGGGGGACCAUCCUCCAAGGCUAAAUACUCCUGACUGACCGAUAGUGAACCAGUACCGUGAGGGAAAGGCGAAAAGAACCCCGGCGAGGGGAGUGAAAAAGAACCUGAAACCGUGUACGUACAAGCAGUGGGAGCCCCACCACCAAAGCAUUCUCUGGUGUUGAAGGCCCUGCAAAGCAGCAUCGCGGUGGCGGAGCGUCGUUUGCGACGCCCAACACACAAAACAAGCGGUGAGUGCUUUGGGGUGGGGUGACUGCGUACCUUUUGUAUAAUGGGUCAGCGACUUAUAUUCUGUAGCAAGGUUAACCGAAUAGGGGAGCCGGAGGGAAACCGAGUCUUAAUUGGGCGUUAAGUUGCAGGGUAUAGACCCGAAACCCGGUGAUCUAGCCAUGGGCAGGUUGAAGGUUGGGUAACACUAACUGGAGGACCGAACCGACUAAUGUUGAAAAAUUAGCGGAUGACCUGUGGCUGGGGGUGAAAGGCCAAUCAAACCGGGAGAUAGCUGGUUCUCCCCGAAAGCUAUUUAGGUAGCGCCUCGUGAAUUCAUCUCCGGGGGUAGAGCACUGUUUCGGCUAGGGGGCCAUCCCGGCUUACCAACCCGAUGCAAACUGCGAAUACCGGAGAAUGUUAUCACGGGAGACACACGGCGGGUGCUAACGUCCGUCGUGAAGAGGGAAACAACCCAGACCGCCAGCUAAGGUCCCAAAGUCAUGGUUAAGUGGGAAACGAUGUGGGAAGGCCCAGACAGCCAGGAUGUUGGCUUAGAAGCAGCCAUCAUUUAAAGAAAGCGUAAUAGCUCACUGGUCGAGUCGGCCUGCGCGGAAGAUGUAACGGGGCUAAACCAUGCACCGAAGCUGCGGCAGCGACACUCAGGUGUUGUUGGGUAGGGGAGCGUUCUGUAAGCCUGCGAAGGUGGCCUGUGAGGGUUGCUGGAGGUAUCAGAAGUGCGAAUGCUGACAUAAGUAACGAUAAAGCGGGUGAAAAGCCCGCUCGCCGGAAGACCAAGGGUUCCUGUCCAACGUUAAUCGGGGCAGGGUGAGUCGACCCCUAAGGCGAGGCCGAAAGGCGUAGUCGAUGGGAAACGGGUUAAUAUUCCCGUACUUGGUGUUACUGCGAAGGGGGGACGGAGAAGGCUAUGUUGGCCGGGCGACGGUUGUCCCGGUUUAAGCGUGUAGGUGUGUGUUCCAGGUAAAUCCGGUUCACUUUAACACUGAGGCGUGAUGACGAGGCACUACGGUGCUGAAGCAACAAAUGCCCUGCUUCCAGGAAAAGCCUCUAAGCAUCAGGUAACAUCAAAUCGUACCCCAAACCGACACAGGUGGUCAGGUAGAGAAUACCAAGGCGCUUGAGAGAACUCGGGUGAAGGAACUAGGCAAAAUGGUGCCGUAACUUCGGGAGAAGGCACGCUGACACGUAGGUGAAGUGAUUUACUCAUGGAGCUGAAGUCAGUCGAAGAUACCAGCUGGCUGCAACUGUUUAUUAAAAACACAGCACUGUGCAAACACGAAAGUGGACGUAUACGGUGUGACGCCUGCCCGGUGCCGGAAGGUUAAUUGAUGGGGUCAGCGCAAGCGAAGCUCCUGAUCGAAGCCCCGGUAAACGGCGGCCGUAACUAUAACGGUCCUAAGGUAGCGAAAUUCCUUGUCGGGUAAGUUCCGACCUGCACGAAUGGCGUAAUGAUGGCCAGGCUGUCUCCACCCGAGACUCAGUGAAAUUGAACUCGCUGUGAAGAUGCAGUGUACCCGCGGCAAGACGGAAAGACCCCGUGAACCUUUACUAUAGCUUGACACUGAACAUUGAGCCUUGAUGUGUAGGAUAGGUGGGAGGCUUUGAAGUGUGGACGCCAGUCUGCAUGGAGCCGACCUUGAAAUACCACCCUUUAAUGUUUGAUGUUCUAACGUGGACCCGUAAUCCGGGUUGCGGACAGUGUCUGGUGGGUAGUUUGACUGGGGCGGUCUCCUCCUAAAGAGUAACGGAGGAGCACGAAGGUUGGCUAAUCCUGGUCGGACAUCAGGAGGUUAGUGCAAUGGCAUAAGCCAGCUUGACUGCGAGCGUGACGGCGCGAGCAGGUGCGAAAGCAGGUCAUAGUGAUCCGGUGGUUCUGAAUGGAAGGGCCAUCGCUCAACGGAUAAAAGGUACUCCGGGGAUAACAGGCUGAUACCGCCCAAGAGUUCAUAUCGACGGCGGUGUUUGGCACCUCGAUGUCGGCUCAUCACAUCCUGGGGCUGAAGUAGGUCCCAAGGGUAUGGCUGUUCGCCAUUUAAAGUGGUACGCGAGCUGGGUUUAGAACGUCGUGAGACAGUUCGGUCCCUAUCUGCCGUGGGCGCUGGAGAACUGAGGGGGGCUGCUCCUAGUACGAGAGGACCGGAGUGGACGCAUCACUGGUGUUCGGGUUGUCAUGCCAAUGGCACUGCCCGGUAGCUAAAUGCGGAAGAGAUAAGUGCUGAAAGCAUCUAAGCACGAAACUUGCCCCGAGAUGAGUUCUCCCUGAGACUUAGAGUCUCCUGAAGGAACGUUGAAGACGACGACGUUGAUAGGCCGGGUGUGUAAGCGCAGCGAUGCGUUGAGCUAACCGGUACUAAUGAACCGUGAGGCUUAACCUUACAACGCCGAAG